Molecule: long non-coding RNA, 1124 nt
Filed under: Eucalyptus grandis
Lineage: Eukaryota; Viridiplantae; Streptophyta; Magnoliopsida; Myrtales; Myrtaceae
Description: long non-coding RNA (EGRA_LNC006347)
Source: RNAcentral
AAAUAAUUAAUAAUUAUUAGGGAGAGAAUUUAGUUUACUUAGAAAAAAACAAACUUGAGUGUAGAACAUAGCGAAGACAUGUUUAAUAAUGAAAAUAAAUUCAUAAGAUAAAUUCAUAAGAUAAUUAUUAGGGGACGCACAUUGGGGUAGGACUAUGUAGUUAUAGUUAUGGUGGUAGGACUAUUCGAAAGCUUUUUUGCUUUGCUUUGGCCCUAGCAAUUAGGUAUAAUUAGGUAUAACUCCACAUUGGCACUUCUUAAAUUUAGCCAAAAAAAAUUAAUUCAAACUUCUUCUUCCUCUUCUUCUUCCUCUUGGUUCACCGCCUUGGUUUACUUUGGUCGAGUUGUGACCCCACCUAAUUUAGCCGCACUGCUUAAAUCCCCACCCCAAGCUAUAACAAAUUCCAAGCCACCAAUAGCAAAUUGAGAAAUUAUUAAACUAGUUUACUAACUAGGCAUUACCCCCAAUCCCAAAACUCACCAAAGCUCACCAUGAACCAUGAACUAACCCUCCACUAACCCUUCAGCUCAUACAAAUUUUUUUAAUAAGAUAAUGAUGAUCAAAAUAAAUGGUCUCAAGCUCUUCUUUUUCCCUUUACUUGUUUAAUCAAAAUAAAAGUUUUUUUCAAAAAGGAAAUCCCAAUCCUUGGCACUUACAACAUUGACAUGGUUACUCUCCUUAAAUUUAUCCAAAAAAAAUUAAUUCAAAAUAGUUUACUUAUUCUUCUCUUAUUUACUUUCUUAUUUUCCUCCCCUUAUUAAUCAAAAUAAAUUCAUCAUAUAAAAAAAAUUAAAUAAUUGAUUAGGAAAAGAAGAAGAUUAAUCAACAGUAGAUUAAUCAAACAAUAGAUUAAUCUAAUCAAAUAAAGAGAAACUAUGAAUGAUAAGUUACCGAUUUUUUUUUUUUACCAAUCUUUCCUAUGAAAGCUUGAAAUUGUCUAUAUUUAGUGUGCUCUUAGUUUAGUUUGUCUAUAUUUAGUGUGCUCUUAGUUUAGUUUGUCUAUAUUUAGUGUGCUCUUAAUUUAGUUUAUUUUUCGGUUUAAUCAAUCCACUUUAAACUUGGGAAAUGCUUACCCGCAACCAACCAUUUUGAAGUAGAGCCUAGGGAAUAACUUUGAUUUUCCC